AUGAACGCUGGCGGCGUGCCUAAUACCUGCAAGUCGAGCGAACAGAUGAGGAGCUUGCUCCUCUGACGUUAGCGGCGGACGGGUGAGUAACACGUGGAUAACCUACCUAUAAGACUGGGAUAACUUCGGGAAACCGGAGCUAAUACCGGAUAAUAUAUUGAACCGCAUGGUUCAAUAGUGAAAGACGGUUUUGCUGUCACUUAUAGAUGGAUCCGCGCCGCAUUAGCUAGUUGGUAAGGUAACGGCUUACCAAGGCAGCGAUGCGUAGCCGACCUGAGAGGGUGAUCGGCCACACUGGAACUGAGACACGGUCCAGACUCCUACGGGAGGCAGCAGUAGGGAAUCUUCCGCAAUGGGCGAAAGCCUGACGGAGCAACGCCGCGUGAGUGAUGAAGGUCUUCGGAUCGUAAAACUCUGUUAUUAGGGAAGAACAAAUGUGUAAGUAACUAUGCACGUCUUGACGGUACCUAAUCAGAAAGCCACGGCUAACUACGUG
This 496-nucleotide ribosomal RNA is filed under the name uncultured bacterium. RNAcentral describes it as "partial 16S ribosomal RNA". It matches the Rfam family "Bacterial small subunit ribosomal RNA", at positions 29 to 507 of the family's 1533-position model. The record is from RNAcentral.